UGGGCAACCUGCCCUGUACUGUGGAAUAAUCAUUGGAAACGAUGACUAAUACCGCAUGUGGUCCUCGGAAGGCAUCUUCUGAGGAAGAAAGGAUUUAUUCGGUACAGGAUGGGCCCGCAUCUGAUUAGCUAGUUGGUGAGAUAACAGCCCACCAAGGCGACGAUCAGUAGCCGACCUGAGAGGGUGAUCGGCCACAUUGGACUGAGACACGGCCAA
This 216-nucleotide ribosomal RNA is filed under the name uncultured bacterium. Its description in RNAcentral is "partial 16S ribosomal RNA". It matches the Rfam family "Bacterial small subunit ribosomal RNA", at positions 118 to 334 of the family's 1533-position model. The record is from RNAcentral.